RNAcentral lists this Y RNA (101 nucleotides) under Microcebus murinus (gray mouse lemur). Its description in RNAcentral is "Y RNA (ENSMICG00000044397.1)". It matches the Rfam family "Y RNA". From Rfam's summary of the family: Y RNAs are components of the Ro ribonucleoprotein particle (Ro RNP), in association with Ro60 and La proteins. The Y RNAs and Ro60 and La proteins are well conserved, but the function of the Ro RNP is not known. The record is from Rfam by way of RNAcentral. Lineage: Eukaryota; Metazoa; Chordata; Mammalia; Primates; Cheirogaleidae.
GGCUGUUCGAGUACAGUGGUGUUUACAACUAAUUGAUCACAACCACUUACAGAUUCCUUUGUUCCUCCUCCACUCCCACUGCUUCACUUGACUAGCCUUAA